GGACCAUCAUGUCGGUCGUGCUUCGGUACGUACUGUCAUUACUGGUUUCUCCCUUCUGAAGAACCUUGAUGUCAUUAAUUUGGUGUCUUGGGGAAUCAGGACUGUUACUUUGAAAAAAUUAGAGUGUUUAAAGCCGGCAUACGCUUGAAUACAUUAGCAUGGAAUAAUGAAAUAGGACGUUUGAUUCUAUUUUGUUGGUUUCUAGGAUCGACGUA
Molecule: unclassified non-coding RNA, 215 nt
Filed under: uncultured Glomus
Lineage: Eukaryota; Fungi; Glomeromycota; Glomeromycetes; Glomerales; Glomeraceae
Description: sequence contains 18S rRNA gene
Rfam family: Eukaryotic small subunit ribosomal RNA (bases 36-215)
Source: RNAcentral